This is an RNA transcript of Bufo bufo (common toad), 3196 nucleotides long. It is a transcript of the gene named phosphofurin acidic cluster sorting protein 1-like, with no coding region annotated. The record is from RefSeq and is a predicted model, not a curated record. NCBI's taxonomy places the organism in Eukaryota, Metazoa, Chordata, Amphibia, Anura, Bufonidae. The transcript has 27 exons.
CGGGGUUUAGAAGCAGGACCCAACUUCAGUGGAGUGACAAUAAUGAGGCCCGAGGGGCCCGGCCCUGUGCCUGUCCCCAUGAACCUCUUUGCCACAUGGGAAGUGGACAGAUGCUCCCCCAGCUGUGUUCCCAGACUUUGCAGUUUGACCCUCAAGAAACUCCUGGUGCUGAGAGAACUGGACCGAGAUCUGAGCUCAGUCGUCAUUGCCGUGAAGCUGCAGGGCUCAAAGAGAGUUCUCCGCUCCAAUGAGUACCAGCUUCCUCCAUGUGGGGUGAUGGAGACGGAGCUGGAGCUCAGCUUCUCCCUCCAGUAUCCGCACUUCCUGAAGAGAGACGCCAACAACCUGCAGAUCAUGUUACAGCGACGGAAGCGAUACAAGAACCGCACCAUCCUGGGCUACAAGUCCCUGGCCAUCGGGGUCAUCAACAUGGCGGAGGUGAUGCAGCGUCCUACAGAGGGGAUGAAGGUCCUGGACCUCCACAGUAACCGUAAAGAUCCGGCCAUCCGAGUGGCAGAAAUCAGCAUUUUCUCACUGUCCAGCCAGCCCAUCGAUCACGAAGAGGUCACCACCGUGACCAGACCAAAGGUCAAGGGCCUGGAUGCUGAACCGUACUGGGAAGAAGAGGAUGAUGAGGACAGUUAUUCCUCAGAGCAAGAUGGCAGUGAUGAAGGUCAAGGACAGGAUGUAGAUGAUGAAGAUGAUGAGAUGAGGAGACCGAAGAAGUUUGUCAGGAAGCUGAUGCACAGCACGUCUCUGAGCCGCCAGCCAAAUUUUAAACAGAAGUUUGUGUCUUUGUUGAAGAGGUUCAAAGUUAAUGAUGAUACAUUGGACACAGAACACACGUGUCGGGAGCAGGAGGAAGACGAGGAGCUUGGCCUCCUAUAUGACAGUCUGGAUGAGUGCAACAAUAGCGAGAGUGGCUUCGACAUAGAAGACAAUGACAGUGUCCUCAGCACCCCGAAACCAACGCUGAGGAGAUUCUUUGAAGGUGUCUCCAACUCUGGGUCUCAGACAGAAAUCGGCAGCAUCAAUGGUCAGAAAGGGGGCGAGAAGAGCCUUGGAGCGUUGGAGAAGCUUCCCCACAGUGCAUGCAUGGAGGACAGUAACUCCCGUCCGGCUGAUGAGGGCAGUGAUCCAGUGCCGGUUUCGGGCUCCGCUGUAGAUCUCGGUUCCUGGGAGCCCGGUGAGCGGAUUCCACAAAUGGGAGUAAUCUCCAGAACUGAGUCACAAAUCAUUAUGUCUCCCAGGCAGGAGAAUCCGCUGUCCCGUGGUCCUCGUAGUCAUUCCAUGAAAGAUCGGCAGAGUUUCCGAGGGACGGGCGAUCGCGGUGGCAGCGCGGAGUCCGAGCUCCCGUCAGAUUCCCGGUUCUGCAGUCAGGUUCCACGAAAGUCAGUAUUUGAUGAAUUAAAUGAAGUUCUGGGUUCAGAUCAGCAGCUUCCUGAGAGCGUGAUCCUGGUGAACACCUCAGACUGGCAUGGACAGUAUCUCAGAGAACACCUACAUGGGAAACUUCUGACCGUCUCCACCUGUUCUUCAGCUGAUGUCCAGGCAGCGUUCAGUGGUAUCAUCACUCGCAUCCAGAGAUACUCUAACUGUAACUCAUUGAUGCCUCCACCGGUUAAAGUUGUGGUUGCUGGUGACCAGAGUUACCUCAGUGUCAUCCUUCGGUUCUUCGUGGAGCAGCUCGCUGGGAAGACUCCGGACUGGCUCAGCUACAUUCGCUUCCUUGUUCUGCCUCUUGGUCCCCACCCUGUGGCCAAAUACCUGGCUUCAGUAGACAGUAAAUACAAUGCCCUCUUCAUGGACGCAGCCUGGAGAGAUGUGUUCAGUCAGGGGGAGCCGCCAUCUUCAGAGCGUCUUGACGUGGCGGGGAGAGUGGCACAGUACAUUGCAGGGGCCUCCGUCUCCCAUCAGCUCUUUAUCUCUGAAGCCAUGCUGACCUAUAGACAGAGGAGUGCUGAUGAGGAUUCUUGCCAGAAGUUUGUUCCGUUUAUCGGGGUUGUGAAGGUUGGGAUUGUUGAGCAGCCUCUUCCAGCCUCAGUGGACUCUGAUGAGGCAUCGGUUUGCAGUCCAGCCCUCCUCAGCUCAUCCUCAUCCCCAGGGACAGGCUCUUCUACUGUGAAGGAGGCCACAUCCACCCCACCACCGUCUCCUUCGGUCAGCAGUGGCCUGUCUACUGCCGGGACUUUAUCCACUGGGGUGGAAGUGAUGGGUCUGCAGGUGGAUUACUGGCAGUGGCAGGGGCCCGAACGCCGGAAAGAUGGAGACAGAAGGGACACUGCCACUAAGAACACAAUGAGGAGUAACUUCCGCUCACUGCAAGUCAGCCGCCUGCCUCCACCCGGCGAGAGCAACUUACCCCUGUGUAUGGCCAUGACCAUCGUGACUCAGGAGAAGAACAAAAAGGUCAUGUUCCUGAGUAAGAAGCCGAAGGAGAAGGAAGCAGAAUCGCGUAGUCAAGUGAUCGAGGGGAUCAGCCGCCUGAUAUGUACCGCCAAGAACCAGAACACCAUGCUGAGAGUUACCAUAGAUGGCGUGGACUGGAACGACGUGAAGUUUUUCCAGCUGGCAGCGCAGUGGCCGACGCAUGUGAAGCAGUUUCCUGUGGGCGUCUUCAGUCACGGGAAGAUCUGAUGUCACUGUGUGGUCCAUGUAGCACCAUCACCUCUGCUCUUCCGGAGUUAGUAAAUCAGGCAGAAGGUUCUUCACCCCGACACCAACCCUGACCUCAACGUGGAGUCCACACAUUGUCUGCACUAUUACCAUGGGGCCCGGCCGAGGUGCCCAACUCACAUGACUCGUCCCUUAAACUGGGAGGUUCCUCUUAUCAUGGGGCCCGGCCGAGGUGCCCAAAUCACAUGACUCGUCCCUUAAACUGGGAGGUUCCUCUUAUCAUGGGGCCCGGCCGAGGUGCCUGAAUCACAUGACUCAUCCCUUAUACUGGGAGGUUCCUCUUAUCAUGGGGCCCGGCCGAGGUGUCUAAAUCACAUGACUCAUCCCUUAUACUGGGAGGUUCCUCUUAAGGUGUCCUGGCCAAGGUGCCCAAAUCACAUGACUCAUCUCUUACAUGGGGAGGUGCCCAAAUCUUGUAAAUCAUUCCUUAUACUAGGAGGUUCCCCUGCCGAGGCUGGCGGCGGUCAGACGUGUGCAGAGUUCAGUACUCGGGAGAGAGGUAGCGGUCAGACGUGUGCAG